UAGUGAGUAGCUAAGAGCAUCUGGUUCUGGAACCAGACUGCCUGGGUUCAAAUCCCAGCUUGGUUA
Myotis brandtii (Brandt's bat) is the source of this 66-nucleotide non-coding RNA. Lineage: Eukaryota; Metazoa; Chordata; Mammalia; Chiroptera; Vespertilionidae. The record is from Rfam.